This 72-nucleotide transfer RNA is filed under the name Candidatus Gallilactobacillus intestinavium. RNAcentral describes it as "tRNA-Glu". It matches the Rfam family "tRNA". Rfam says of the family: Transfer RNA (tRNA) molecules are approximately 80 nucleotides in length. Their secondary structure includes four short double-helical elements and three loops (D, anti-codon, and T loops). The record is from RNAcentral. Lineage: Bacteria; Bacillati; Bacillota; Bacilli; Lactobacillales; Lactobacillaceae.
UGCCCCAUGGUCAAAUGGUUAAGACGUCGCCCUCUCAAGGCGGAGUUCUGGGUUCGAUUCCCAGUGGGGUGA